GUGCCACCACGCAUUCCACUUCGGAUGUUGCAUUAUAUUUAUAUGUCACUCAAAUAUUUACCAUUUUUCUGAAUUCUGCUGGGUGCUCUGAGAGCUCGUUAUAAGCCAAGUAGCUGCAGUUGUGUGCCUUGGCUGUCGAGCAGCUGUGGCUGAGCCACAUCAAUCUGCUAACUUCUCUUUCUGGAGCUUCUCGUGUGACAAAAGCCACUCUUUCAUAACGUUUCCUCCUCCGUAGUUGCCGAUCUGCCCGCUGCUGCAAAUCACCCUGUGGCACGGUAUGAUAAUCGGGAUAGGAUUGCUCCUCAUCGCUCCUCCCACCGCUCUCGCUGCUCGGCUGUUGCCUGCUCGCUCUGCUAAUUGCUGGUAAGAAAUGGCCUCUCCGAACUUCACUUCCCUCAGCAGGGUCCACAACACCUCCUUGGUGAAUGAAUCUUGCUGCAGCAUGGGGUGGUGGAAGGGCGGCAGGGGCAGCUGCUCUGUCCUGCUGGGCUCACAGAAGUAGGCGUUCAGCCAGGCUGCACACUGCUGCAGUGGCUCCGGCAUGGAAGUCACACUGCCACUCAGCUCACAGCGCAUCGCAGCCUCCGUCCCAUUUGGCAGCACACUCAGUCUGGGGAGUUUUAUUUCGUGUACUCCUGUUUCACACCCAGAUAUCUCCAGUUUUCCCACGGGGCUGAGCAGAACCGCAUGCUUCUCCUGGCACUGUGAUGUUCCCUCUUUGGAAGUCAUUUUUGGAACACGCCUUGAUGCCAUGGUAGAUGGAGAUGCCUGCAGAGACACUGAACUUGCAGCGCAGACGCACGCAGCACUCGUGACCGCUCACCGCCCCCGGCCGCACUGCCGAGCUCCCCCCGCCCCGCCCCGGCCCCAACCGGCCCGCAGCGCGCCGCCCGCCCGCCCCGCCUCCUCCUCCCACCGCCACACGGCCGCCAUCAGCUGGGCCCCGCGGCCCGCACAGCCCGCCGGAGGACCGCGGCGGAGCACCGGCAGCGCGCACAGACUGCGGCGGAGCUGCCCGGGGGGCUCGGAGGGCGGCGGUAGAGGCGGAGCAGCCCCGGGAGCGGCCUCACCUGCCGCCCGGCAGCACCACUUCCCCGCGCCGCGAGGCCUUCCGAGCCCCGCCCGCGUGCUCCGGGAUGGGGGGAUGGGGGGGGGGGGACGGAUGAAGGCCGGGCGCUGAUUGCGUCCGCGCUCAGCUGCUCCAGGGCCCGUCUGGGCCUCUUUGUAAACAUCACCCACAAACCCACGGGUGCCGAAAGGAGCGUGCUGAGGGCUGGCUGCUGCAGCGGGCUGCUGGUCUGGGAGCAGAGCACGGCACGUGCCGUGCGGCCGAGUUCGCCAUUUAAAGCGUUACCUGCGCCUGUCCUUUGCUAAGCGCUGGCGUGGAGGCGAGCAGGCAGCCCGCAGCGCUCCGUUUGCAGACGGGGAUGUUCUGCAAACCCAACUUGUUAAAGAGAGGAAAGCAGAGCUUUGUUUCAGCCCACAGAAGGAGCGCUGCUCAAGUUUGCAAGAAGAAGCUCUCAUUUUCCACCUAAAGAUUUUUCUUGCUGUCUGAAACUUACACCUGAGUUACAUCAGCAGCAUUUUUAUAGUGGUGCUGCAGGAUGCAGAAGUUAUCACAGAAUGGCAAAGUGGAGGAAUCCACGUGGGAAAUAACAGAGCGGCUUUAAAAAGUCAUCACAGAACCAUGGCAAUCUAUUUUUUUUUCUAUUUUUUUUUCCACAGGAAGUGAGUGCUGCGAAUAAAAGAGCAGUGAGUUAGUGCCCGCGUGUGAAAUCCGGCUCUAAAAAAUGACAGAGUUGGCUCCAAAAUGCUGAAGUUUCUCCAAUGCAAUUGAAGAUACCUUUGGAAUAGUUGCACCUGGGGCAGACUUACAACAGGGCGGUUGUGAGCAGGGGAUGUUGAGAGGCCUUUUUUACUGCCUUUGCCAUCUACAUAAGCAAGGUGUUGGCCAAAAGUCUCUGCACAUCUCAGAGAGUAAAAGAAGUCUACGGUGCUUCCUCCCUGUCCUGUUAACUGUGAUUUAUGGACACAGCCAUUUAGAUAUGAGGAGGAAGUUUUUCCCCCAGAGGGUGGUGACGCACUGAACAGGUUGCCCAAGGAGGCUGUGGAUGCCCCAUCCCUGCAGGCAUUCAAGGCCAGGCUGGAUGUGGCUCUGGGCAGCCUGGGCUGCUGGUUGGCGACUGUGCACAUAGCGGGGUGGGGGGGGGGUGUUGAAACUAGAUGAGCAUUGUGGUCCUUUUCAACCCAGGCCAUUCUAUGCUUCUAUGGUUUAGAGCAAGAUAGAAAUGAUCCGUGUGAUCGGUGAGGGAUAAAUUGCAGUUAUAUCUCUUUACAUAAGCAGUUUCUCAAUGACUUAAUUUAAGAGACAGAGAAACAGUAUUACAAUUAAGGAGAAAUGCAGGAAAAGCUAUUCCAUCUUUGUGAUAGCUUACAAACAAUUAGAGAUUCCUGGUUCAUAUUUUCUGAUUUUUUAAGCAUUCAAAAUUAAUUUCUGGUACCUUUACAGUAACCUUUGCUAGUGAACAGAUUACUUAGACUUACUACAUAAGCAAUGCUGUAUGCUUUCAGAAGGAAAAUGAAGCUUUCCAGCAGCUUUAAUGAAGCCUGGAUUAACAGUAAAUGAAAAGGUAUUGCCAAGGUGUGCCCCAUACAAGUGCAAUGGCUUAUGUGAAGACAGUCUCAUCUCUAAAUGAACAAUCUCUUCACAUCAGUAAACUGUGGACUGGAUGGGGUACCCAGGGGAUAGUUAUUAUUUCUGAAUGCAAAUAUCAAACUUCUUAAACUUGGAUCCUUUAUUUUCUUUCUCCCAGAUGUUUUACAAUCCGAUAUGGGGAUUAAAAGGAAGGAGUGCGGAGGUCUGUAAACCAACCACUCUCAAAGUGAGUUUCAGUGGUCCUCCUUUCCAUAACAAUCGUCAUUUCUUUGCCUUCAGGAUGCCAACAUAAAGAUGAGCUCUGCAGGUCAGUCUGUGCCGUUCCAGUUGAGGAGGAGCAGCCUAUUGACCGGCAUGGGCAUGGCAGUUGUUAGCACUGACAACAGCGCUGCUUGAAGAGAAAACUUAAUUAGCACAGAAUUCCCUGAAGGACUGCUUCCCAGUAGACUAUGAAUACGUAAUGUCAUUAUAUAAUUAAAUACUUACAGAUUUAUGCAAUCUUAAAACAUAUAGGAGAUUCUCGGGCACAUCCACAUAGGAGAUGUGAGUAGACCUGAAGUCCCUUUACCUCUGCUGUGUAUAUCUGAGCUAUGAUGGAAGGUGUAUAUGGCUGCUUAGUGGCUGAAAUUGUGUCCCUGCCAUACACUCCACUUCUGGGGUUGGGUCAGGUGGAGCGAGUCAGAUUGUGCUGGCACCUACCCGAUGAGAGUGACAGGAGAAAGGGUAAAGCAGGAUAUCUGCAUGAGUUUCAAUUAACAGCGUGAGCUUCAUUAAUUCCUUCCAAGUAUUAGUGAAUGUUUACAAUUUUAAGUGCUUUGGAAAUUUCAGUCUGGUAUCUUAUCUCUUAAAAAUGAACCUAUUUUACUUUGAAAAUAUUGUAAUGCCAGAUGAAAGGGAAACAGUGCUGAAGUGAAUGAAAUCACUCUGUGCUGUUUCACAUUUCUGAAAAGUAGCCACUUCCUGAAACUUUAUGUGGAAACCUCCAGAAAAUACAUAUAAAUCUUUUCUAACUCCCCUUCCAGGCCGACCUCCUUAUUGCCUGAAGCAUGAAAAUUGAUUAUCUUUAAUAUGAUUUUAGUUUGCAUUAUAACAGGUUUGAAUAGGGAAUGUGAAAUGUCUGGACCCUCUUAAAACCAAGCAUUUGGGGGUUUGGCAGUGAGUCCACAACUUGUCUGUUUGCAGUAUAAAGAAGUGUAGGAAUUCAAACUGCUCUGUGUUCUUAGUUAAUCAAAGUGUCAUAUUCUUCUGUUAGCAGAUGAUGUAAGAAGGGUACUCCUGAGCGCUCUGCACUAUGCCCCAAGAAUUACCAACAUCUUAUUCAAAUCUCCUCUAAUCCCUCAGCUGAUCAGAUUUUAAUCUUUAUUAUUUUGCCGCUAUAAUUUCAACCACUGAACUUUUGAAUUCCCUUCUAGUCUAUUCUUUAAUGGAUAGGAAAUGGCUGGGAAGACUAUUACUAAUUAGAUGUACCACUGGCCAUGACAUCAGCAUCAAUAGAAGAUAUAAACCCCCUUUCUCUGUAGAUUCUGGCCUGUUCCUACUGCUUUACUUGGUAUAUCUUAUCAGACUUCCUUCUUAAAUUAGCUAUAAGUGCCACUGGUUGUUAAUUUUCUUGCUAGGAGUCUCCAGCAUUCAGCAUGACACAUCCAGUUCACUAAUGCUAAAGCUUACAGGGAAUGUUUCAGAGCACCAGUACUGUAAGAAGGCAAAAGAUUUCUAAAAUGUUUUUUGAGUCUUGUCAUCUCAUAGAAUGGCCGAGUCAGAGAACCAUAGAAUGGCCUGGGUUGAAAAGGACCACAAUGCUCAUCAGUUCCAACCCCCUGCUAUG
RNAcentral lists this long non-coding RNA (4481 nucleotides) under Gallus gallus (chicken). Lineage: Eukaryota; Metazoa; Chordata; Aves; Galliformes; Phasianidae. The record is from RNAcentral.